ACACCUCAACUCUCAUGGCUUGCCCGUGAUGAGCUUGGACUCUGGGGGAUUUGCUGGCCUGUGGGUCGGCUCCCCUCAAAUGAAUCAGCUUGCCAGUGUUUGGUGGCAUCACAGGUGUGAUAACUAUCUACGCUUGUGGUUCGCCGCCAGGUAACCUUCAGCAAAUGGAGGUUCUCUGGGGCUUACAAAAGUCUCUCCUCGGUGAGGACAGCUCUUUGAAC
RNAcentral lists this unclassified non-coding RNA (221 nucleotides) under uncultured Tomentella. RNAcentral describes it as "sequence contains ITS2". The record is from RNAcentral. Lineage: Eukaryota; Fungi; Basidiomycota; Agaricomycetes; Thelephorales; Thelephoraceae.